RNAcentral lists this transfer RNA (65 nucleotides) under Dixella aestivalis. Its description in RNAcentral is "tRNA-Tyr". It matches the Rfam family "tRNA". Rfam says of the family: Transfer RNA (tRNA) molecules are approximately 80 nucleotides in length. Their secondary structure includes four short double-helical elements and three loops (D, anti-codon, and T loops). Lineage: Eukaryota; Metazoa; Arthropoda; Insecta; Diptera; Dixidae. The record is from RNAcentral.
GGUUAAAUGGCUGAAAUUAGGCGAUAGAUUGUAAAUCUAUUUAUGGGAAUUAUUCUCUUUAAUCA